Molecule: ribosomal RNA, 377 nt
Filed under: uncultured bacterium
Lineage: Bacteria
Description: bacterial SSU rRNA
Rfam family: Bacterial small subunit ribosomal RNA
Source: RNAcentral
UAAUACGUAGGAUGCGAGCGUUGUCCGGAAUUAUUGGGCGUAAAGCGAACGUAGGCGGUUUCUUAAGAUUGGUCUUAAAGACCGGGGCUCAACCCCGGGAAUGGAUCGAUAACUGGGAGACUGGAGGACGUCAGAGGAAAGUGGAAUUCCGAGUGUAGCGGUGAAAUGCGUAGAUAUUCGGAGGAACACCAGUGGCGAAAGCGACUUUCUGGGACGUUCCUGACGCUGAGGUUCGAAAGCUCGGGGAGCAAACAGGAUUAGAUACCCUGGUAGUCCGAGCCGUAAACGAUGGAUACUAGGUGUCGUGGGUAUCGACCCCCGCGGUGCCGUAGCUAACGCGUUAAGUAUCCCGCCUGGGGAGUACGGUCGCAAGACUG